This 468-nucleotide ribosomal RNA is filed under the name uncultured bacterium. RNAcentral's name for it is "partial 16S ribosomal RNA". It matches the Rfam family "Bacterial small subunit ribosomal RNA", at positions 28 to 507 of the family's 1533-position model. The record is from RNAcentral.
GACGAACGCUGGCGGCGUGCUUAACACAUGCAAGUCGAACGGAAAGGCCCUGCUUUUGUGGGGUGCUCGAGUGGCGAACGGGUGAGUAACACGUGAGUAACCUGCCCUUGACUUUGGGAUAACUUCAGGAAACUGGGGCUAAUACCGGAUAGGAGCUCCUGCUGCAUGGUGGGGGUUGGAAAGUUUCGGCGGUUGGGGAUGGACUCGCGGCUUAUCAGCUUGUUGGUGGGGUAGUGGCUUACCAAGGCUUUGACGGGUAGCCGGCCUGAGAGGGUGGCCGGCAUCGUGGCGACUGAGGUAGGCACCAGCCUCCAACGGGAGGCAGCGGGGGGAAAUCUGGCAGAGGGGGCGCGCGCGUGUUGCAGAAGCCUCGGGGGGGGGAUGGCCGUUUUGGGGUUAUAAACCACUUCCUCCUGAAACAAAGGGGGAUUGACGGUAUUGAAUAAAGAAGCCCCGGCUAACUACGUG